RNAcentral lists this ribosomal RNA (384 nucleotides) under Paragalago zanzibaricus (Zanzibar galago). RNAcentral describes it as "partial 12S ribosomal RNA". It matches the Rfam family "Bacterial small subunit ribosomal RNA", at positions 800 to 1380 of the family's 1533-position model. The record is from RNAcentral. Lineage: Eukaryota; Metazoa; Chordata; Mammalia; Primates; Galagidae.
CCGUAAACCUAAAUGACUAUCUAACAAAGCUAUUCGCCAGAGUACUACAAGCAACAGCUCAAAACUCAAAGGACUUGGCGGUGCUUUAUACCCCCCUAGAGGAGCCUGUUCUAUAAUCGAUAAACCCCGAUAAACCUCACCACCCCUUGCUAAUUCAACCUAUAUACCGCCAUCCUCAGCAAACCCUGUCAAGGUAACAAAGUAAGCAAGAGAAUAGAACAUUAAAACGUUAGGUCAAGGUGUAGUCUAUGGGGUGGGAAGAAAUGGGCUACAUUUUCUACCUACCACAGAACAAUGAACGCCAGCCCAAAUGAAACAAUCGGCGAAAGGCGGAUUUAGUAGUAAAUUAAGAAUAGAGAGCUUAAUUGAAUAGGGCAAUGAAGC